Molecule: unclassified non-coding RNA, 239 nt
Filed under: Exophiala oligosperma
Lineage: Eukaryota; Fungi; Ascomycota; Eurotiomycetes; Chaetothyriales; Herpotrichiellaceae
Description: sequence contains ITS1
Source: RNAcentral
CGAGUUAGGGUCCUCAUCGGGCCCGACCUCCCAACCCAUUGUUUAUGAUACCUAGUGUUGCUUCGGUAGGCCUGGUCUAUCUGUUAUAGACCUGCCGGGGGGCCGUAAGACGCCCGCCGGAGAGUGCCUACCGACAGCCUCAACUCCAAAAUUCUUUAACCAAACGUGUCUUUGUCUGAGUAACGUCUUUUAAAAUAAAGCAAAACUUUCAACAACGGAUCUCUUGGUUCUGGCAUCGA